This 1875-nucleotide small RNA is filed under the name Pan troglodytes (chimpanzee). Its description in RNAcentral is "processed transcript". The record is from RNAcentral. Lineage: Eukaryota; Metazoa; Chordata; Mammalia; Primates; Hominidae.
GGUUUUGCUUUGUCAUCCUGGCCAGAGUGCAGUGGCACAAUCACAGCUCACUGCAACCUCGACCUCCUGGGCUCAAGUGAUUCUCCCACCUCAGCCUGCUGAGUAGCUGGGACUACAGCCCACAUAUGACAGUGGACAUAGAGGACAACGCAGAUAUAGAACAUUUCUUUUAUCACAGUAAGUUCUUUGGAUAACACUGCUCUAGCACAAUACUUUCUAAAAUGUGUCCCAUGAAUCACAGUGGUGAUCCGUAAGCUGUCACUGGUCUGCAACAAAAUAAGUACAAAUAUUGAGACUUUUUAGAACAUUUUAUGGCAACUUCACGUUGCUGCAACAUCCAAGUACAUGAUCACUUUUACAGUCAUUUUAGAAAUUUAGUAUUUUAGAAUUUAGUAAUUCAUUUUCAUUGUAUUUUACGUAAGUAUUAAUUAGCAAAAGAUUAGAAAGAAAGAAAAACAAGAGUUUGCUCACAGUGAAUACUUUGAGAAACACUACCCUUGGGUAUGUUUAGGUGGAAUUGCAAGAUCACAGUGUAUGCUUAUGUUCAACUUUAUUGGAUAAAUUCACUACGUUUUCCAAAAUUAUUGUGUCAAUAUUAUAUUCCCACCAUCAGAGUAUGAGAGUUUCCAUUGUUUUGCUGUUUCUCUGUCCCUGGCUUUUGUGUCCCUCAUUUUAGAUUUAAAUUUUGCCAGGUGAUGGAUGUGAAAUGGCAUGUUAUAAUUUUAAUUUACAGUUCCCCAAUUGCUAAUGAGAUAAAUAUAUUUUUAUAUGUAUAUAAUGCAUUCAUGAUUCUACUUUAGAUUCAUAGGGAUUCUUUUUAUGUUCUGAUACUGAUCUGCUUCUUAAGUGUGUUGCUAAUGUCUUCUCCAAAUUUGUGAUUUGUGUUGUCUUUGAUAAAUAGAAAUAGUUAAUUUUAACUUAGUAGAAAUUUUCUUAUUUUUGUGUGUGUGUGUGCGUGUAUUGUGUUUAAGAAAGUCUCCUAGAAUUCUUUUUUGUCUGUUUAAGUUUUAAAGCUUUAUCUUUCACAUUUAGGUCUUUAUACCCAUCUGCACCUUGAUUAAAUUUCCGUUCAGGGUUUGGGAUAAGGAUCUAAUUAUUUUUGCCUUCUUUGAUUAACAAUCCCUUCACUGCUUAUUGAAUAGGUUUUUCUUUUCUUUUUUUUUUUCUUUUUUUAUUUUGAGACAGAGUCUCGCUCUGUCUUCCAGGCUGGAGUGCAGGAGUGCAGUGGUGCCAUCGCUCCCUGCAACCUCCGCCUCCCGGGUUCAAGCGAUUCUCCUGCCUCAGCCUUCUGAGUAACUGGGACUACAUGCGCGUGCCACCACGCUCGGCUAAUUUUUUGUAUUUUUAGUAGAGAUGGGGUUUCACUGUGUUAUCCAGGAUGGUCUCGAUCUCCAGACCUCAUGACCCGCCCGCCUCGGCCUUCCAAAGUGCUGGGAUUACAGUCGUGUGCCACCGCGCUUGGCCGUUUAUUGAAUAGGUUUUUCUUUACCAUUGAUUUUCAGUGUCUACUUGGUCUUAUAAUUGUAUUUCCAUAUGUGUAUGGGUCAGCUUCUGAACUCACUAUUGUGUUGCAUUGGUGAAGUAGUUCUGAAUCUUCCCUUAAUUGCUGUAAGUUUAGAUAAGUCUUGGUAGUUGAUAAUGUAAGACAUGUCACAUAGUACUCUGUUAGAAAUUUCAUAAUCAGUUUGGCAUGUUCUAUAAGAAAUCUUGUGGGGAUUUUGAUUGGAAUUGAUCUAAUUAUUAUAAUUUAAUUUUAUGUCCAAGACCAUGGAAUACCUCUCCUUAUAUUUUACUCUACUUUAAUGUCUCUCAAAGUUUUGAAAUCUUCCCUGUAACUUUCUUAUGUGUAGUCUUGGUACUUUAAAAUUCAUUUUC